RNAcentral lists this ribosomal RNA (465 nucleotides) under uncultured Klebsiella sp. RNAcentral describes it as "bacterial SSU rRNA". It matches the Rfam family "Bacterial small subunit ribosomal RNA", at positions 338 to 795 of the family's 1533-position model. Lineage: Bacteria; Pseudomonadati; Pseudomonadota; Gammaproteobacteria; Enterobacterales; Enterobacteriaceae. The record is from RNAcentral.
CCUACGGGUGGCUGCAGUGGGGAAUAUUGCACAAUGGGCGCAAACCUGAUGCAGCCAUGCCGCGUGUGUGAAGAAGGCCUUCGGGUUGUAAAGCACUUUCAGCGGGGAGGAAGGCGGUGAGGUUAAUAACCUUGUCGAUUGACGUUACCCGCAGAAGAAGCACCGGCUAACUCCGUGCCAGCAGCCGCGGUAAUACGGAGGGUGCAAGCGUUAAUCGGAAUUACUGGGCGUAAAGCGCACGCAGGCGGUCUGUCAAGUCGGAUGUGAAAUCCCCGGGCUCAACCUGGGAACUGCAUUCGAAACUGGCAGGCUAGAGUCUUGUAGAGGGGGGUAGAAUUCCAGGUGUAGCGGUGAAAUGCGUAGAGAUCUGGAGGAAUACCGGUGGCGAAGGCGGCCCCCUGGACAAAGACUGACGCUCAGGUGCGAAAGCGUGGGGAGCAAACAGGAUUAGAUACCCUAGUAGUC